GGUUUUGAGGGUGAUCUAGCCAAAACAUCUGUCAUCUCAUUAACCACCAAGUUGUUUCAGCUGGUCUGACUGGCUAUGUGGAUGUCCCCCUCCUCCCUCACCUAUCCACGUGUUUCCUACCCUAAAUGGAAGUUGUGCACUCACUAGAAGACUUCUUCUUCUUCUAGCGUUUGCCCUUCUUCCGUAGCCAGUCAACAGCGUCAGGUUGAAAGCUGUCAGGAGCUGCUUGUUUCUGGCUUUGAAAGUGACUGGGAUCCAUGUGGAUUCAGUCGGCU
RNAcentral lists this small nuclear RNA (275 nucleotides) under Erinaceus europaeus (western European hedgehog). RNAcentral describes it as "7SK RNA". The stretch from base 1 to 175 matches the Rfam family "7SK RNA". Rfam says of the family: 7SK was discovered as an abundant small nuclear RNA in the mid-70s but a possible function has only recently been suggested. The record is from Rfam by way of RNAcentral. Lineage: Eukaryota; Metazoa; Chordata; Mammalia; Eulipotyphla; Erinaceidae.